UAAUCUUAUUUUUUUUAGAAGUUUUAAUGAUAAAAAUAAAAUUUGCUUUACUUAAAUUGAAUGCUUGAAUUUGAAUUUUUUAAGUAAAAUCAACUAAAGUCUUUUUCAUAUAAUCUGGGUGCAGGAAUGUGUUUUGGCUUUCUAUUCAGAUGAUUCAGGAUUGAAUAUAGAUCUUUCACCCUGAAAUAUUUUCUUAGGGAAUCUGGCCCAACAGAAUAAUCCCUAUAUAGCUCUGCAAGCAGUUUAUGAUUGGACCACAUCACUUUCCAAUUUGUUGGCUGAUUACUAAGUUAUGUCAAAAAAAUAAUUUUCAUUAUGCUUAUUUUUGCUAUAAUCUUGGUGGGAUUUCUAUAAGUGCAUUCAUUUCAUAUUAUGUUACCAGCAUAUUUAAAUCAUUGUCCCUGAUUCAUUUUAUUAAUCAAAGUGAACAAAUUAAUCCCUACAUUCUAU
RNAcentral lists this long non-coding RNA (450 nucleotides) under Androctonus crassicauda. Lineage: Eukaryota; Metazoa; Arthropoda; Arachnida; Scorpiones; Buthidae. The record is from RNAcentral.